Molecule: ribosomal RNA, 468 nt
Filed under: uncultured bacterium
Lineage: Bacteria
Description: partial 16S ribosomal RNA
Rfam family: Bacterial small subunit ribosomal RNA
Source: RNAcentral
GACGAACGCUGGCGGCGUGCUUAACACAUGCAAGUCGAACGGAAAGGCCCUGCUUUUGUGGGGUGCUCGAGUGGCGAACGGGUGAGUAACACGUGAGUAACCUGCCCUUGACUUUGGGAUAACUUCAGGAAACUGGGGCUAAUACCGGAUAGGAGCUCCUGCUGCAUGGUGGGGGUUGGAAAGUUUCGGCGGUUGGGGCUGGACUCGCGGCUUAUCAGCUUGUUGGUGGGGUAGUGGCGUACCAAGGCUUUGACGGGUAGCCGGCCUGAGAGGGUGACCGGGCACAUUGGGACUGAGAUACGGACCAGAAUCCUACGGGAGGCAGCAGUGGGGAAUAUUGCACAAUGGGCGGACGCCUGAUGCAGCAACGCCGCGUGCGGGAUGACGGCCUUCGGGUUGUAAACCGCUUUCGCCUGUGACGAAGCGUGAGUGACGGUAAUGGGUAAAGAAGCACCGGCUAACUACGUG